This 670-nucleotide ribosomal RNA is filed under the name uncultured bacterium. RNAcentral describes it as "bacterial SSU rRNA". It matches the Rfam family "Bacterial small subunit ribosomal RNA", at positions 22 to 702 of the family's 1533-position model. The record is from RNAcentral.
GCUCAGGAUGAACGCUAGCGGCAGGCCUAAUACAUGCAAGUCGAACGGUGUAGCAAUACAUAGUGGCGCACGGGUGCGUAACACGUAUGCAACCUACCUUAUACUGGGGGAUAGCCUUUGGAAACGGAGAUUAAUACCCCAUAGUACAUUUGAUUGGCAUCAAUUAAAUGUUAAAGAUUUAUCGGUAUAAGCUGGGCAUGCGUCCAAUUAGUUAGUUGGUGAGGUAAUGGCUCACCAAGACUUUGAUUGGUAGGGGAACUGAGAGGUUAAUCCCCCACACUGGCACUGAGAUACGGGCCAGACUCCUACGGGAGGCAGCAGUAGGGAAUAUUGGGCAAUGGAGGCAACUCUGACCCAGCCAUGCCGCGUGCAGGAAGAAGGCGUUAUGCGUUGUAAACUGCUUUUAUAUAGGAAGAAAUAGUCCUUGCGAGGAAAGUUGACGGUACUAUAUGAAUAAGCACCGGCUAACUCCGUGCCAGCAGCCGCGGUAAUACGGAGGGUGCAAGCGUUGUCCGGAUUUAUUGGGUUUAAAGGGUGCGUAGGCGGUUUAUUAAGUCAGUGGUGAAAGACGGUCGCUCAACGAUUGCAGUGCCAUUGAUACUGGUAGACUUGAGUGGGAUUGAGGUAGCUGGAAUGGAUAGUGUAGCGGUGAAAUGCAUAGAUAUUAUCC